This 372-nucleotide ribosomal RNA is filed under the name Phreodrilidae sp. P16. RNAcentral's name for it is "partial small subunit ribosomal RNA". The record is from RNAcentral. Lineage: Eukaryota; Metazoa; Annelida; Clitellata; Tubificida; Phreodrilidae.
UAUAGCGUAAAAUAAAGCCGGAUAAUACGAAUAAUAUUUAAAAUCCAAAGAACUUGGCGGUGUCUUAUCACUACAGGGGAACCUGUCCCUUAAUUCGAUAAUCCACGUUCAUACUACCUAAAAUUGAAUAUCAGCCUGUGUACUGCCGUCGUCAGUAUACCUCUAAAAGAUUAUAAGUAUACAACAAUGUAAUAUAACAUUAACGUCAGGUCAAAGUGCAGCCAAUAUUUAGGAGCUAGAUGGGUUACAACCUAAACCAAGAAACGGAAAUUUAAUUAAUAAAUUAAAUUAAAGGUGGACUUGUAAGUAAUUUUAGUAAAUUAUAUUAAAAUGAACCAGAAUCUAAGACAUGCACACAUCGCCCGUCACUCU